RNAcentral lists this ribosomal RNA (429 nucleotides) under Actinomycetes bacterium. Its description in RNAcentral is "Actinobacteria bacterium partial 16S ribosomal RNA". It matches the Rfam family "Bacterial small subunit ribosomal RNA", at positions 355 to 776 of the family's 1533-position model. The record is from RNAcentral. Lineage: Bacteria; Bacillati; Actinomycetota; Actinomycetes.
UAGGGAAUCUUCCGCAAUGGGCGAAAGCCUGACGGAGCAACGCCGCGUGAGUGAUGAAGGUCUUCGGAUCGUAAAACUCUGUUAUUAGGGAAGAACAAAUGUGUAAGUAACUAUGCACGUCUUGACGGUACCUAAUCAGAAAGCCACGGCUAACUACGUGCCAGCAGCCGCGGUAAUACGUAGGUGGCAAGCGUUAUCCGGCAUUAUUGGGCGUAAAGCGCGCGUAGGCGGUUUUUUAAGUCUGAUGUGAAAGCCCACGGCUCAACCGUGGAGGGUCAUUGGAAACUGGAAAACUUGAGUGCAGAAGAGGAAAGUGGAAUUCCAUGUGUAGCGGUGAAAUGCGCAGAGAUAUGGAGGAACACCAGUGGCGAAGGCGAAUUUCUAGUCUGUAACUGACGCUGAUGUGCGAAAGCGUGAGGAUCAAACAGG